Molecule: long non-coding RNA, 3096 nt
Filed under: Homo sapiens (human)
Lineage: Eukaryota; Metazoa; Chordata; Mammalia; Primates; Hominidae
Description: HSALNT0160583
Source: RNAcentral
CCAGAGCAAGGUUGCCUCCGGGACCCACGUAGGUGGGCCUGACCGCAAGGAAAGCUAGUGUCCUUUUAUGAAUACCACUAGAGGAAGAAGAGAGCGUGUCCAAAGGAUGCAGAUGUGAGUAAUCAGAUGACGAGAAAAAGCAGAAGGGCACUUGGCAUUUCCCCUUCACCUCCACGAUCCCUCCCUGUGCUGGAUGCGGACACGUCUUCCCUUUGUAACUUUGGCUCCGUUAACUGGGAAGAGCCUUCCAAAAGGCCACAGGAAGGUCUACAUUUGAAAAACCAAUCAUUUCCUCUACUGCUGAGAAGUGAGCCAGAGCGACCUAACCUCCACUUCACCCUAGGUAAUGAGGACUUGGCUUGCAGUGGUCUGAAAGGGUAAUCUCCUGAUUGGCCUCCAGAGAGCCCUGUGCCGGCUCAUUUAUGAAGCUUUAAAACAAUUGCAAGUCUUCGGCAAAAGGCCUUCAGGGGCCACCCACGCCGGACAUGAAUCAUUUGCAUGUGUAUCAUUCACUUCCCACCAACAAUGCCACCCACAGGCUGCAUGGAGGACCCGGGGCUUUCAAAGAAGGGAAGAAAACUUCAGCCGUGCAAAGAAGCCCUACCGAAGUCUAAGCUCCUGCCCUCCUGGGGGAGGUGGGGGGUGCAUUCCUCAGGCCAAGAAGUCGGACUCUGACUUCCUUUGAAAUCCCUCCUGGUGACCAACACGGAAUUAGUUAAACUAGUAGGCACUUGGUUGCCUGAUCUCCCACGCCAGAUUUUCGAACCAAAAAACCAAAAACCCUGGCAGGAAGACAUUUUCAAAUUCCAGAAAUGCUGACGGACCUCCAGCGUUUCCAUGUUCCUCCCCACCUGAAGAAUGUUAAGAUAAGCUUAAUGUGAUUAUAACGAGACUUAUAUGCCCAACAAGCAUAGUUUGGGAAAGAGAUUUGCUUUGAAUACUGUGAAAUAAGCUUUAAUCUGUCAGGUUUAAAAAAAAAAGUUCCUGUGAAUUAAUAAUGCAAACAGCACUGUGCUUUCUGAGUGCGACUAUAAAAGAAUUUAAUGACCUCCUAUUGUGUCAAGCUGUGGAUUAACUUCAAUUUUCAGAAGAUCCCAGGAUGCAGGAGUCAGGGUUUGAACUCCUGAGAAAAGUAAAUGCUAAACCCUAAAUGGCCACUGAGUAAAGAAUCCUAUUGUCCCCGCUGCAUAGCAACCAGUCCCAGUAGGAGGAUAUCCUACUUUGGAUAAAAUGAAGUGUCCAGAAAGUGAAAACAGCCUUGACACCAGUUUGUGUUAAAACUAUAUGAAUAUUUAAAAUGCUUAACAUCUGAUCAAAUAACUGAUUCCCGAAGAUUAGCUCUAAACCUUAGACAAGUAGUACAGCGGUCAUUACAUUUCGUAAUCACUUUCAGGCCGAACUCAGUUGGGGUGGACAUUUCAAUUCACAGAAUCAACUGCUAGGUCCCCAUUUAGGAACUCCAUUCCUCCUGGGUGGGCUGACGAUGAAGCCCUUGUUACUCCCUGGUGUCACAUAGCACCAGCUUAUGUCUUAAGGGCAAUGCUGGCGUGAGGACAUGAGAGUAGAGCCCCACAAAUCAGGAAUGUGGUGACAAGAACUGCACAGUGGGGCAGGGAGCUAAGAGAAGGGUCCAGUGGGGAUCCAUAAUGGGCAACACAGAAGGUAGCUGUGCACACAGGCACCAGAGUCUUCAUCCUGGGCCACUGCAGAGAGCCCCCUAAACCCAGAAAAGAACUUGCUCCCAAACAAAAUCAGAUUUACAAGGAAAUGAAUCUUGGAGAGCAUCUCCCCAGGGCCUUUGGCCUCCAUCAGCUGGGACACCCACGUUCCCAGAAGGAGGAUGGCCACCUCCUCGGUGGGAUUUCCCAAGGGCUCCUGCUAGAAUGCGAUGGAUUUCCCUGGAUGGCGUUUCACAGCGGAAACCGUGGGAUUGAUUUUGAACGUAAUGGGUCUGUAUGUGCUUCUGAAAGCGACCUCCUAUAAAUCAUCUGCUCCUCAGAUGGCCCCAUGAGGUAGGGAAGCUCUAAAGCUUGCUUUCUCUGUUACAGAAGGAAAUGAGCACAUCAUCGCAGCCUCUUGGUAAACUGCACCCCCUCCCUUCCUAUGGGUGAACUAAAACAGGAAAAAAUGAAACUGGCAGAUGUGAGAAAACUGGGAAAGAUCCAACAAAGGAAACCAAACUUUGUUUGUAAAAUAUAAAGAGAGGAUGAGGACCCCUCCUCCAGGAUCUCUGUGUGUCUGCCUCUGUCCUAGCACUGACUGCAGUGACACUGCAUGUUUACAUGACCAUCCCUCCACAGAGCACAUUUUCCAAAGGGCAGGGCCAUGUCUUCCAUAACCUGUAUUCCCAGUGCCCUACUCAUGCCUGGGACAAACACACAACAUGGGAGGUGCUCCUGAAUGUGCAGGUACUAACAGGGAGAAGAUGCAGUGGAUUUAACUUGGAAGAUUAUUAAAGGAAGGUGCUGCAUGUCUGCAGACAAUGAUUCAAGUUAGGAUAAAUGCGGAGGCAGAAUUUCUGGGGAAAAGGCCUAGCAGACAAAGGAGGUAGGAGUCUAGAAUGUUCCUUCAGUCUGGUCUACUCAACAAUCUUUUCAAAUGCAAACUACCGUCUUAGCUUAGGAUGGGGAAAGAUCCACUUUCUUAGAGAUGGGAGCUUGCAGCCACCUGUCACACACUUAAAAAGGAAUUUGAGUCCUGGUGCAGUGGCUCACGCCUGUAAUCCCAACACUUUGAGAGGCCAAGGUGGGCAGAUCACUUGAGGUCAGGAGUUCAAGACCAGCCCUGGCCAACAUGGUGAAACCCCAUGCCUACUAAAAAUGCAAAACUUAGCCACAUGUGGUGGCACAUGACACAUGACUUUAAUCCCAGCUACUCAGGAAGUUGAGGCAGGAGAAUCACUUGAACCCCGGAGGUGGAGACUGCAGUGAGCAGAGAUGGCACCACUGCAUUCUAGCCUAGGCAACAAAGUGAGACCCUGUCUCAAAAAAAAAAAAAAAAAAAAAAUAAAAGAGAGAGAAGAAUUCGAUAGGACAGUUGAGGCUACAACAAAGCACCCUCCCUGGAAUUGCUACUGUGGGCCAGGAGAAUUCUCCC